RNAcentral lists this ribosomal RNA (482 nucleotides) under uncultured bacterium. RNAcentral describes it as "partial 16S ribosomal RNA". It matches the Rfam family "Bacterial small subunit ribosomal RNA", at positions 30 to 507 of the family's 1533-position model. The record is from RNAcentral.
AUUGAACGCUGGCGGCAUGCCUUACACAUGCAAGUCGAACGGUAACAGGUCUUCGGAUGCUGACGAGUGGCGAACGGGUGAGUAAUACAUCGGAACGUGCCCGAUCGUGGGGGAUAACGAGGCGAAAGCUUUGCUAAUACCGCAUAAGAUCUACGGAUGAAAGCCGGGGACCGCAAGGCCUUGCGCGAACGGAGCGGCCGAUGGCAGAUUAGGUAGUUGGUGGGAUAAAAGCUUACCAAGCCGACGAUCUGUAGCUGGUCUGAGAGGACGACCAGCCACACUGGGACUGAGACACGGCCCAGACUCCUACGGGAGGCAGCAGUGGGGAAUUUUGGACAAUGGGCGAAAGCCUGAUCCAGCCAUGCCGCGUGCAGGAUGAAGGCCUUCGGGUUGUAAACUGCUUUUGUACGGAACGAAAAGACUCUGGUUAAUACCUGGGGUCCAUGACGGUACCGUAAGAAUAAGCACCGGCUAACUACGUG